AAAAAAAGCCAUUAUCAUUUUUUUCCCUUCAUCUUCAUCACGAAACAAAACAAAAGAAAACAAAGAAACAAAGCUAGGGUAUUCGGCCAUUGUUGAGCUUGAUUCAAGAUCAUGAACCAAAGAAAUUGGAGUUAGAUCGGGGGAAAGCUAAAAUCGUCAAAUAAUCGUCCGGUUUCGAUUUUUCACCGUCCGAGAUAAAAAAAAAUCAAAUCAAGCUUCAAGCUCAGGGAUCGUCAGCGAGUUUAUCAUCUUAUCUAUUGUCUCGGUAUUUAAAAUAUUUAAAUUCUAACUAUGGCAUGUACAGACUAGAUAAAUGUUUUGAAGGUCGUACUUUGUUGUAUUGUAUAUGAAUAUAAUAGCCAUACUAAAAUGGUUUAUUUCCUUAUAGAUUUGCUAGUUUGUAAUAUCUUUACUAGUUGGAUUAUAAUGUCUUUGUUUAUUAAAAAUGGUUAGAAGAGAAGUUUAACA
Long non-coding RNA from Gossypium raimondii (Peruvian cotton), 468 nucleotides. RefSeq lists it as uncharacterized. The record is from RefSeq and is a predicted model, not a curated record. The transcript has 3 exons. NCBI's taxonomy places the organism in Eukaryota, Viridiplantae, Streptophyta, Magnoliopsida, Malvales, Malvaceae.